Zingiber officinale is the source of this 465-nucleotide long non-coding RNA. RefSeq lists it as uncharacterized. NCBI's taxonomy places the organism in Eukaryota, Viridiplantae, Streptophyta, Magnoliopsida, Zingiberales, Zingiberaceae. The transcript is spliced from 3 exons. The record is from RefSeq and is a predicted model, not a curated record.
GAAGAGGAGAGGCCAUAACUUCCUUUCAGCAGCCACCGCUCUUCCAUCCAUCAUCCGAAAACUUCUACUUAGGUUAGAGGAGGAACUGAAGCCUUCCCCUUUCUCUCUUCGGGUUAGAAGAGAGGAAGCUCCACUCCUACUUCCGGAAGAGGAAAGCUUUAUACCUACCACCGACAACCCCCAUUCCCUCUCCACUUCCGGUUAGAAGUGGAGAGUUCAUUUCCUCCACUCCGGCAGCCCUUCAUCGUCUCCAAACAGCUUGCUCCACUCUGGCAGCCCUCCAUAUUCCAUCUUCUGGUUAGAAGAGGGGAAGAGGUCACUUCUAGACAACCACUACAUCUGAAGGGACCACUAGGAAAAACACCAAAUUACCCAUUUCAACUGAUGCUCAAUUGAGAACAAUGCGAAAGGGAUCUGACGACCAUCUUGUUCUAAACAUCGAGUCUGGGUCUGAUCAUUCAAUUA